AGUGAACGCUGGCGGUAGGCCUAACACAUGCAAGUCGAACGGCAGCACAGUAAGAGCUUGCUCUUACGGGUGGCGAGUGGCGGACGGGUGAGGAAUACAUCGGAAUCUACUUUUUCGUGGGGGAUAACGUAGGGAAACUUACGCUAAUACCGCAUACGACCUACGGGUGAAAGCAGGGGAUCUUCGGACCUUGCGCGAUUGAAUGAGCCGAUGUCGGAUUAGCUAGUUGGCGGGGUAAAGGCCCACCAAGGCGACGAUCCGUAGCUGGUCUGAGAGGAUGAUCAGCCUCACUGGAACUGAGACACGGUCCAGACUCCUACGGGAGGCAGCAGUGGGGAAUAUUGGACAAAGGGCGCAAGCCUGAUCCAGCCAUACCGCGUGGGUGAAGAAGGCCUUCGGGUUGUAAAGCCCUUUUGUUGGGAAAGAAAAGCAGCAGGUUAAUACCCCGCUGUUCUGACGGUACCCAAAGAAUAAGCACCGGCUAACUUCGUG
Molecule: ribosomal RNA, 492 nt
Filed under: uncultured bacterium
Lineage: Bacteria
Description: partial 16S ribosomal RNA
Rfam family: Bacterial small subunit ribosomal RNA
Source: RNAcentral